This 1411-nucleotide ribosomal RNA is filed under the name Proctophyllodes sp. n. AD638. RNAcentral describes it as "eukaryotic LSU rRNA". It matches the Rfam family "Eukaryotic large subunit ribosomal RNA", at positions 73 to 1269 of the family's 3401-position model. The record is from RNAcentral. Lineage: Eukaryota; Metazoa; Arthropoda; Arachnida; Sarcoptiformes; Proctophyllodidae.
GAUUCCCUUAGUAACGGCGAGCGAAAAGGGAAAUGUCCAGCGCCAAGUCUUGACAUCUAUGGUGUUCAAGAGAUGCGGCGUUAAUGUAUCGACCCAUCGUGCACUGUUUUUUGUUUCAAGUUCCUACGACCGGGACUUCCAGAGCGGGUGUAAGACCCAUAAAGACGAGAAACCAGUGUAUGCUGAGCGAUGCAUUCUAGAGUCAGGUUGCUUGAGAGUGCAGCUUAAAGUCGGUGGUAAACUCCAUCUAAGACUAAAUAUUACAGCGAGACCGAUAGCAAACAAGUACCGUGAGGGAAAGUUGCAAAGCACUUUGAAGAGAGAGUUCAAAAGUACGUGAAACCACUGGGAGGCAAACAGAUGGAACCACGAAGUUGCGCCUCGGUCGAUUCAAUCAUCAUUGUGGGUUAGUUGUUUGAGRUCGGGAUCUUUUCGGAGAUUGAUCUCAAGUAGUUCAACCAACUAUGAUGGUGCAUUUCGUGCCGGGGAUGCUAAGCCACGUUCAACUAGAGUUGGGACGGCAGUAAGACAGAAUCCGAGAAAGGUGCCCGUCAAGUGCUUGCAUUUGACGGCGUUAUAGUCUUGGAUUGGAACCGUCGCCUAACAUACUGGUUGAUAAAAUUUCUCCGUUUGGAGUUGAGCUGURUCUGCCUGCAGUUGUUAGUCGGUGUUCCGUGGUGUUCUUUGCGUAUCUUUCGAUGCGAAAAGACGCYACAAAGAUGUCGGCUAGUGAUUGCUUGCGUGAYAYAGYAGAACUGUGGCGCGAGUAGGUCGGUCUCCAUCUGACCCGUCUUGAAACACGGACCAAGGAGCCUAUCAUAUACGCGAGUCGCUCGGUCUUGUUUAGGCCUGGGAGGCGGAAUGAAAGUAAAGUUACGAGACUUCGGUCGCAGUAACGGCUCGCCCACUUCGUUUAUUGGCGAUCUGGCGAAGCUGGAGCGUAUACGAUGGUACCCGAAAGAUGGUGAACUAUGCCUGGGCAAGACGAAGCCAGAGGAAACUCUGGUGGAGGUCUGUAGCGAUUCUGACGUGCAAAUCGAUCGUCAGACCUGGGUAUAGGGGCGAAAGACUAAUCGAACCAUCUAGUAGCUGGUUCCCUCCGAAGUUUCCCUCAGGAUAGCAGGCGUUUAUAAAGUGCAGUCUCAUCCGGUAAAGCUAAUGAUUAGAGGUCUUGGGGUUGAAACGACCUCAACCUAUUCUCAAACUUUAAAUGGGUGAGAUGGUUGACUUUCUUGAUUGAAGCCAACCAUUUGGAUGCAAAUGCCUAGUGGGCCAUUUUUGGUAAGCAGAACUGGCGCUGUGGGAUGAACCAAACGUCGAGAUAAGGCAUCAAAUGCGUACGCUCAUCAGACCCCAUGAAAGGUGUUGGUUGCUAUAGACAGCAGGACGGUGGCCAUGGAAGUCGGAAUCC